This is a long non-coding RNA of Hippocampus comes (tiger tail seahorse), 1229 nucleotides long. RefSeq lists it as uncharacterized. The transcript is spliced from 4 exons. NCBI's taxonomy places the organism in Eukaryota, Metazoa, Chordata, Actinopteri, Syngnathiformes, Syngnathidae. The record is from RefSeq and is a predicted model, not a curated record.
UCCGCGUGAGCUUCUAUAAAGAGAGCACUUGAGCCUGUUAUCAUGGCAGGCCUCACAAGCGCUGCGUGCUCACUCGCUAAUGAGCACUCAGGCCAAACAUGGUCCAAACGUACAAUUUGACAUUUUACAUCAGGGGUGUCCAAACUUGGUCCUCAAGGGCCACUGUCCUGCCUGUUUUCCUGCUCUCCCAGGAGCAACGCACCUAAUUCAAAUCAUCAGGAUGCUUCAGAGCUGACUGACGAGCUGAUCAUCUGGAUCAGGUGUGUUGCAGCCGCGACAGCUGGAAAACAGGCAGCACAAUGGCCCUCCAGGCCCAGAGCUGGACGUGCAUGCUUAACACGAUGUCAUUCUAUCAUGUACGUUUUAAAAUAGUUUUGGUUUGCGACAAAACAUUGAGGUAAACGUUGGAUUCCGAUUGAUUUCAAUGUGAAGCGGUUAAAAAAAAAAGAAUGAUGUUGACUCUGUUUCGUUGUUGUUUGAGGAAACUCAUCACGCGUUGACAGCCGGAGACGCUAAUUGUCAAACGACCGCAGACUUGGACGACGCCACAAACGUUCAACAGCAAGCGUGUGACCAUCUGGGUGUGAGUCGUGACUUACGCGAGCUCCUUUGGAGUGUUUUCAUGUUGUUUUAGUGUUAGUUGCGAGGCUGAAAGUGCAUUGGUGACUGUGACUCUUUGCCAUUUCACAACCUCAAUUUCUCUGCUCUUUUUCUCAUUCAACCCAACAAUUGAGGAAUUUGAAAAAGUCGUGCAAGCGUCAACUCUGAACCAAAAAGAAGUUGAGGUACCACCAAACAAGUAAAUUGAGGUCAGUGCAUGACUACAAAUCCUAAAUCAAGUUGCCUCCAGUCUCGAUUGCCCUGAGUGUACCCAAUGGAGUGGACGGCUGUUGGACACCCUCAGCGUGCUCCACCAGACGAGUGUUGGCAUGCGAAACGUUUGACGGUGGACGAAGGGGAUGAAUCACUGAGCAGGUAGACCUUUUCUCCCAAAAUAUCCUGAAGGGCAGAUGAACAAAGGAGCCCACCUGCUCGGAGGGAGCAUCGCGCGCCUAUCUGGUCAGGUAAGCGUCUUAAACCAGUUGGUGAAAUCAUGUAGGAACACCGAUGAUUGUAUUAGAUGAAUAAAUAUAAAUUCUCCGAACAGGCUUGUGGCCAUUUUCAGACAUAUCAAUGACAAAUGUGCUCAUUUUAAAAAAAUGUGGAGGGAUCUACUUUAAUAUUAUUGU